This 88-nucleotide transfer RNA is filed under the name Holospora curviuscula. Its description in RNAcentral is "tRNA-Ser". It matches the Rfam family "tRNA". Rfam says of the family: Transfer RNA (tRNA) molecules are approximately 80 nucleotides in length. Their secondary structure includes four short double-helical elements and three loops (D, anti-codon, and T loops). Further hydrogen bonds mediate the characteristic L-shaped molecular structure. tRNAs have two regions of fundamental functional importance: the anti-codon, which is responsible for specific mRNA codon recognition, and the 3' end, to which the tRNAs corresponding amino acid is attached (by aminoacyl-tRNA synthetases). tRNAs cope with the degeneracy of the genetic code in two manners: having more than one tRNA (with a specific anti-codon) for a particular amino acid; and 'wobble' base-pairing, i.e. permitting non-standard base-pairing at the 3rd anti-codon position. The record is from RNAcentral. Lineage: Bacteria; Pseudomonadati; Pseudomonadota; Alphaproteobacteria; Holosporales; Holosporaceae.
GGAAAGAUGCCAGAGCGGUUGAAUGGGGCGGUCUCGAAAACCGUUGUAGACAAGCGUCUACCGAGGGUUCGAAUCCCUCUCUUUCCGC